GUGCUUCUACUAUGAAGGAAACACCAAUUUAUUUAGUUUAAUUUAUAAAGUACGCCACACACAAAUCUUCAAGUUUCCAUGGAAUUGUGGGGUUUUUCUCAAUUCAAGAGGUGAGAGGUUCUUCUUUGGUAUCAUAUUGGAUAUUGUAGUAAUUAGCACCAGUGUAAGUGUUACCAAUGACAUCAGUUGUGACAACGUUCCCAUUAUAAAGAGUAUCUUUUUGAGUGAAUACGAAGGGAACAUCACACACGCCAUGGGACAUCAAUAGAUACACCGUCACCUUAGUCAUCGGUGGCACUUGAACUUGGUGGUUAACUUCCAUCAUGGUGACUGUCGUCUUGGUCUCUCCCCACUCGAUUCCUGUUUCGUAUUUGGAAGAUAUUUCGACUCCCGCUUUACCGAUUAAUGGAACCCCUACUUGGAAGGUGGCUUUGGUUUCAAGGCCUAACGUAAAAUAAGCUAGCCAAGUACUGGAACUGGUCUCUGUAUAAGAAAGUUUCACAUCGAGUGUGCUGGCUUGAGUGGUACGGUUAAUGGCAGAAUUAUUCGCCACAACACGGACUAUUUCGUUAUAGACUCGAGCAUUUUCAAUAUCGUAUCGGAGAUUAUAAAUCUGCCUUGACAACACAGGCUCUUGAACCAUUAAGAAGGCUUCUCUUGUUAUAGAAGGGACGGCUGCAUUAAGGCAAUUCGUCUUUCCCUCGGUCGUGAGGCGCUUGCAGAAAUUAUUGUUGCCCAAGUUGAGCAGAGCUAUGGUCUUGCUGUCGACUUUGAAGGCACUAAACAAAGUGUCCUUAUUGGUUCCUUCAGUGUCAUUAGAAUCCGCCCAAAUCCAAUUCGGGCUACGCCUCCAGAACCGAUCGGAAGAAAGCGGCUUGACCCGGAUGUCUCCAUUCUUCAUAUAAAAAACUUCCAUUGGCACAGAUCCAGCACCGACAUCCGCACCCGAGAAUUCUAAAUAUGGGUGACCCUCGACCUGGGUAAGACGAAGGAACAUAUCAUUGUUUCCUUUGAAAGCAACGUACCGGGGCAGAAUCACCAACGACUCCCAAUCAAUAACUUCGAAGAUAUCAUCGCCAUUAGCCGCAAAAUGAUUCUUGUUUGCCAACACUCCACGACCGAGUUCCGAUGUAGCCAAUGGCCAUAAGUAUAAAUAGCAUCCAGAUUGAACAUGGACAAAUCGACAAUUUUCAUAUACAGGGUCUUCAAAGAUAGGCUUGAACAAUGUGCAUGACUCCUUGGAUUGGUCUUCUUCCGGCUUAUCGGCGGUUAUAGUAAUCCAAUACUCCUCAUUUGGUUUUCCGGUGAUGGAAGGAUUAUGAGUUCGCUUCAAGUACUUGUUGGUGGUAGAGCUCCUUAUGUGCACCAGCCCAUCUUUAGCAAACUCCACUUCGAAUUUUGCAUUUGCGCUCACGACCUUUGUUUCGGUGAACUCGGCGUACCCCUUGUACUCUCCGUUGUCUUGUUUGGAGCCAAGGUAUGUUUCGGCGCCGGGGGAUUUGAGCACGAUGAACCUUGGCAAUGACAUUUUGAAUAACAAAGUAACUUUCUCAAUCUUGUGCUUAUGCUUUGGUAUACAUUAAGCCUCAAUGGCUCAGCUUUUUAUAGAUAAAACUUAAUUGCUCUUACCACGUUUUUGUAAGUCCAUUCCAACUAAUUAAUUAAUAUUUUAAUUUGUGUGAUUAUGCCUCUUUGCUAAGACAUGUUUUUAAUGUGUACCAAAAACAUUAACCAUUAUUCAAUUACUAUUUUAGAACCAUAUUUUUUUUAAAAUUUUAGAAAUGCAAUAAAACUUUAUUUCAAUAUAUAUAUAAUAUAUGUUAAAUUAAUAUGAAUGCUUAAAUGCUUUGAAAUUUAUAAUAUAUGAAUUAAUAAUGUAUUAAAAACUUAUUUAAAUAUAAAAAUAUUCUAAAUUGGAUUAUAUUAUGAAAUAUAUGAUGGAUUACACAAAUUAACAAGUUUUGAGAGGUAUAAUUUUUACUCAACUUCUUGUUGUUAUUAUAAACAUCGAUAAUGGCAGUAGAACAAUUGCAAAGUAAUAAGAAAAGAAAAAUAAGAACACCCUGAUUUUACAUAGAAAUUUUUUUGGGGAAAAAUCACGGCUAAAGAAGAAGAAAUUCACUAAUGGUGAAAAUCAAAUAAGGAGUUUCGACUACAUAUAUUUAAGGGUUGAAAAACCUUAUUCUAAUCAAAAUUAAAUAGAAGUAUAAUUGUAUACAGAUUUAACUUGUGCGGUAUGGCCCAUACCGCGAGAAUCCCUCGGUCCUUCAUUUCCACAACCCUUGGGGAUUCAGAUUACACAAUCUUUUAACACUUUUUUUUGUAGUCCAUUCAAAAAGUGAAAUUAUUAUUUAAUAUUUUAAUAGUGGUUUUUUAAAUUUUACAAGUGAAAUUAAAAAAAAUUAUCAUGCCUUUUAUUUAUUUUUUAGUUUUUAAAAUAUUUUUUUAGAAUAAAUAAUAAUUUGGCAAAUAAUUAAAAUUGAAAAGGACAGGGAAAGAAAAAAAUUCAAAGUUGAAACAGUGUAUUCCACGUGGGGUUUCUCCAUCAAUCAAUGACUCGCGAUUGCUUUUACUUUGGGAUAAACUAACUUUUAAUCUUUGAAUUUCAUAUUUUUUUAAAUUUAGUCCUUAACUUUUUUGGUUUACUUUAGUUUUAGAAUUUGAUAAAUUUUUUUAAUUUUAGGUCAUGUGAUGACAUUAUAAUAUGAUAUUGUACUAUGUUAUCACUUAAAAAAUAUAUUUUUCUUUCUGUUUUAGGAAUUUUUAUUUGUUCUUGUAACACGUUUUUUUAGUCUUGUUUAUACAAGUAACCUUAGUUUUACAAGUGAUUUUAUGAAUGAUCUUGUUGUCGUCCUCUCUAAUUUGGUUAAUGCUCUAAUCUUUUUUCGAUUUUUACUCGCCGCUUUGGAUCAUCCAUCGUUGAUUUUUUUAUCGCAUUAAGUGCUUGCAAUCACUCUAUAUAUGUCGUGCUUGAUUUGUGAUAAAGCCAAUUGUCAACAGGUCGGGUCAUGAUACUGAGACUAAAGUCUUUGUUGUGUUAUUUAAGCUUGUCUUUCACUAUCUAUGAUGGGUGUUUGUUAUUUUUUUCUCUAAAUUAUAUGAUUCCCUUUAUUAAUUAAUAAACUUACCUUUAAAUAUAUAUGCUUUUCUAUAAAAAUUAGAUAAUAACAUCACUCCAUUUUAGAAUACAAAAUCACGGAUCAAAUUUGUGAAAUUCUAGUAUUAAUGUAGACAACAACAAAAAAUCAGAGAUUAGGUUGAGAUAUUAUUUAAUUUGCUGGCAGGUAAUUUGUAGGAGGCAGAAAGAAAAAUCAAAAUAGAAACAGUGAGUAUUCCGCGAGAGUGAUCAGUGACGAUUUGGAUUAGAUCUCAAUUAAAACGCCUAUAUUACAUUUCACGUGUUGUGUAAAAAUAAUACUUUAAUCAUGUUUUUCGAAUUAGAUCGAUAGUUAAAUAAAUUAAAUUAUCGGUUCAUUUGAUAUGUUCGGAUUUUCGAUUCAUUAUCAAUUUUUAGAAAAGAAACGCCAAAUGGAAACAGUGAGUAUCGAGUGAUCAAUGAUGCGUUUUUCCAACUGCUUUUGCUUUUCCUGAGUGAUCAUCUUGCUGCUUUCACCUACUUUUCUACCAUAUUUCUCUUCUGCUUUACCCAAACUCUGUUGAAUCUCACCUUCUUUCAUGCAUUCUUCUGUUUUUGAUACCGACACUGCCUCGAGAUUAUUACGUAGAAAUUUUUUUUGGGAAAAACCACCGCUAGAGAAAUUGAAUAAUACAAAAAAAGUUUCGACUACAUGUAAGGGUUAAAAAAAUCUUAUUCUAAUUAAAAUCUAUUAGAAGAAAUAUAAUUUUACAUGGAUUUAAUUUAUAUGGUAUGGUUCAAAUUGCUGGGACUCAACCCUCGAUCCUUCACCUUCUCAAUUGUUGGGGAUUCAAAUCACACAAUCUUUAAUAUUUUUCUUUUUUAACAUUAAUAUUAGUAGUUUUUUUUUCUACUCUAAAUUAUUCAAGUAAUUAAUGAAAAAAAUGUAAUGCUUUUAAAAAUGGAUUGAUGAUUCAACUAGUUAAAUGGUAAGUUUAAUCAAUUCAACUUAUAUUUUUUUAAUUUAAAUUUAAUUAAAAUAUUAUAGAAUUAUAAAAUUCGAUUUAACUAAUUUUUAAAAUUAAUUUAAUCGGUCGACGUACGUCAUAAAUUAACUGGUUUUUUUUGUUUUUUUGGAUCAAUUUUUUAUUUUACCGAUUUAGUUUUGAAAAUACUUUGGUAAACAUUUUAGACAGAUGGAAUGGCAUCUGUUCUAAGGAGAAAGAAUUAAUGUACGAAACAAGGAUAUUAUCCAUUUCUAAUAGUUUUAUGCCACAUCAGUAUUCUUAUCUUAAAUUUGAGAAUUUUAAUUUGGAUUUUAUUUUUUUAGGAUGAAAAUGCUGAAAUUCAAGAUGAAAAUGCUAAUGUGACAUGAGACUAUUAAAAAAAGAAUACAAAUGACAUGGCGUUACUGUUUUAUACCAUCUUUUUCUAUUUUCUAAGUUGAGUGUUUUGAUUGAUGAGUGUUACGUACAAAUGAUGUUUGUAUUUGCGUUUGUACAAGUGUUACUUUUUUCUUUUUCUUUUUUUUUUUUGUUCAGUGUACAAGUGUUACUUGAACUAAGAAAUGUUUGCAUGAAUGAAAUUUGAAAAGUUUUGUUUUUUAUGGCCAGAAAAAAGACAAACAUGUUUUAUAGUUUAUCUUAAAAAACCAUCAAACAAUUGAAGAAAAGCAUACCACACGCCCAGCAUCAUCAGUAAAUAAAUAUAAAAAAAUAUUGGUAAAAAGAUGCAUAUUGAGUAAAUUAAUUAUUAAUUAUUAAAUAUUAAAUAUUAAAAUAAUAUAGUAUAAAUAUUUUUAAAAAAUUUUAAAAAUUAAUAGGACGAGUCUAAAAUGGACUUGGAUUAGUCUUUAGCAAAUAUAGAUGGGUUCGAGUAAAAUUUUAAGUUUAUAUUUCGAGUUGAACUAAACUUGAACAAAUAUGAAGUAUAAUAAUAUCAUACUUACACUCAACUUAAUCUAACCCAUGAACGCAUUUAACCGUGUGCUAUAUUUUUCUUGAAUUGUUUGAUGGUUUUUGUAAAAUAAAUUAUAAAAUAUGUUUGUUCUUUUUCUAUAUAUCUUCAGUUUUCAGUCGCGCAAACAUUUCAUAAUACAAGUAACACUUGUACAAACACAAACACAAUCAACACUUCCUAGUCUCACACAUACACGUAACACUCAUCAAUCAACCACCCAACUUAGAGCAGAUGGCAUUCCAUCAGUAUAAAAUGUUCAUCAAAGAGGAUACUUUUCGAUAUUUUCAAAAUUAAAUCAAUAAAAUUGAGAAUUAAUAAAAGUAUUAAUUUGACAAGAUAAAAAAUUUAUUUUAACCUAUAAUGUGGGAAUCAAUACAAAUUAAUAAAUCGUUUUUAAAAUUAAUUAAAUUAUGUUUUAUAGUUUUAUAAUAUUUUUAAUUAAAUUUGAAUUAAAUAAAUAAAUCGAAUUGAUUGAGUCUAUAAUUUGAUUAGUUCAAUUAUUGAUCUGUUUCGAAAAACAAUACAUUUUUGUCUUUAAUGACUUGAAUAAUUUAGAGUAAAUAACAAGGAAAUGGAAUAGAACAAAAUUGAAUAAAAAUUAUACCUCUCAAAACUUGUUCCAUCAUAUAUUUCAUAAUAUAAUAAUAUAUAAUCCGAUUUACAAUAUUUUUUAUAUUUAAAUAAGUUUUAAUACUUUAUCAAUUCGUAUAUUAUAGAAUUUCAAAGCAUUUAAGCAUUCAUAUUUAUUUAACAUAUAUUAUAUUUUUUUAAAUAAAGUUUGAUUGCAUUUCUUAAUUAAAUAAAAAUUUUAAAAUAAUAAUUGAAUCAUCGUUAAAGAUUGGAUGUAUUAGGAUUAAGUAGACCCCCAUAGAGGUCAACACAUAUCCUAUUAUAGGGUCGACACGUGUUUCCUGAACAGGAGUUCUCCUGCAUGGUGAUGUUAAGCCAUGCAGGCAAACUAUAUAUCAAUGAGCUAUACUUUGCUAGCCGGGUUGUGGGUUGGUAUGCGAACCGGCUCGAUUUGAUAAUUAAGUAGAGGUGAAUACCAUAACAAUUUGUCUCCUACUUGGUCGAAGAAGAAUUACAAAAUGACCCUUUUGAGGUCUGGUAUGUGCGUGACAUGGGGACUUUGAAUGAAGCUUGUUAGGUACACCUCUUGUAUAAAACUUGUCGAUUACGCUUUGCCGCUCAAUAGCUCGCUGAUAUAUAGUUCAUCUGCAUGGGUUUGUACCACCAUACAAGUGAAUUUAUAUUAAAAAAAUACGUGUUGAUCUUAUAAUAGGAUACGUAUUAACCUGUAUGGGGUCUACUUAAUAUUAAUAUGUCAAAUUAUGAAACUAUGACAUAUAAAUAAUAAAUUGGCUUUAAGAAUAGGACACACAGAAACACUAGUAUAAACGUUAGAAUCGUUCAAUAUCCCAUUGAAUAUUCAUGGUUCACCUACAUUUCAAUCAUUUGGGAGAUACCAAAUAAUGUACCAUUUACUUUUUUAUAAUUUGGAUCACACAAUAAUGAAAUUUAUUGAAAUAUUAAAUGAUAGAAGAAAAUCAUAUCCAUUAUAUUAGUCAAUGGAUGAUUGCAAGGGAGUCUCUCGUUGUGAAUUUGACAUGGCAAUUACAAUGACAGAUAGGCAUACACCGUGGAAAAAAAGUUUAGGUUAAAAUAUGUCAUAAGUUAUUAUACUUGUCAUGUAUUUGGAAUUUAGUCCAUAUUAGUUAAUGGAUGGUUGUAAGGGAAUAUUUCAAAUUUCAAAUUUCGAAAUUCAAGUCCAAUUGUUAAUAAUUUUGUUUCGCUAAUUUUCUUUGUGUGACAUUUCAAAAUAUCAAAAAUACUCAUUUAGAAGCAAUGUAUUUAAUUAAAAUAAUCUAAACAGAGUUAACUGUAGCGACGUAAAAAUUUUAGUUUCGCUUGGUCGCUAAUUGUGGCGAUUUAUUAAAAAAGUUUAAAAUUUGACAUUUGAUUUUUUUUGAAAUAAACAGGGAGUCGCCACCGAUCCUCUUUCCUAGGUGUGAUCGUACACCUAUUAGAUCUCUUAUCAAAACAAAUAAAAGGCUAAGUUUAGGUCUACGUUAAAAUCCAGAGAAAACUUAGGGUUCGGGAGUCGGUUACGAGCGAGGAAGGUAUUAGCACCCUCGCGACGCCCAAAAUUGGUAUCUUAUAAACAAGUGUUGUCUUAAUUUUCAAAAUUGCGAGUUCAAAGUAACAUUGAAUCGUGACCGAGUAAAACACGAGAAAUUUCAAGCUUCGUUUUCUUUUGAGAAGGAUAUACCGUUUUAACACGAGUCGAUUGAUAUCCACCCAACAUAGCGAUGAAAUCGAUGACAUAGUGUUUAAAUCGGUACGUUGCCUUGCUUAUUGAAAUAAAAACACGAAUAUGUUCGAAACAAUGUAAAGCAAAUUAAUAAAUAAAAAUAAAUAAAAGACAAAUCUAGAGGUACAUUGAAGCAAUAUAAAUGUGACGAUAAUAUUAUAAACAAUAAAGACAUAUAUGAUACUAGAAUUAAAUAUGAAAUGGAAAUAAUGAAUGUAGACACAUGAUAUUAAGAGUAUGUAUGUAAACUAUACAUAAUGUUUGAUAGUAAAAAUAUAACUAAUAAUGUUAAAAUAUAUACUUAAUAUAUACCUAUAUACAUAUGAAAAAUGUGUGCACAUGCCGUAUAUGAAAAAUAUAUACAUAGUAAUAUAAAAUAAUAAGUGAUAAUAGUGAAAAUAAUGGGUAUAAUAAUUAUAAUGAUAUACGAAAAUAAUACUAUAUAUAAAAUAUGUAUACAAGUAUAAUAAAAUAUAUGUCUUGAUGUUAAUAACAAACAUAGUAGGAAUAAAAUAAAUGUAAUAAUGAUAUAUACACAAUAUGGUAUUAAGAAUAUAUAUAUAUACAAUAUAGUAUUUAAAAAAAUAUAUACAUAAGAUGGUGUAAAAAUAUGUACAUGGAAAUGUAUAAGAAAUAUAUAUAUAAUUAGUAAUAUUAAAAAUAUAUAUAACAUAUAUAAAACAUAUACAAUACAUACAUACCUUAGAAAUGAUAAUAAUAACAAGAAAACUAUUUUGUACACUAUACACAUACUUAUACACAUAUAUAUAUAUAUAAAUAAUAGUAUUAGCAAUAUACAAUAUAAUAUUAGAAAUAUACGUAUAAUAGUAUAAGAACUAUAUAUAACUAGUAAUAUUAAAAUACAUAUAAUAAUAUAUAUAAAAUAUAAUAUUAAAAAUUUAUUUACAUAACAUAUAUGAAAAACAUAUAUAAUAUAAUAUUAAAACAUUUACAUGAUAUACACAUAUGGUUUCAAGGUUAAAUACAUAUUAAAAAAAAUAAUAAUAUUACAUAAAUAUAUACUUAUAUAUAUUAAAGCUAUGUACAUAUAUAGUAAAAUGCAUGGACAAUACAACAUUCAACAUAUACAUAAUAUAUAAUAAAAUGAUAAUAUACAUACUAUAUAAAUUACAUAUAUAACAAAACAUGUACUACGAUGAUAAUAAUAAUAAUAAGGAUAAUAAUAAUAUUGAUAUAUAAAGACAAAUAUAGCAUUAAAACAUUAAAAUAAAAUAAUUAAAAGACUAAAUACAAAUGCAUACAUACACAUGCAUAUAUAAAUAAUUAUACAUUAAGACAUGCAAUAAACACAUUUAAUUAUAUAAAUAUUAAAAUCAAUAAAUAACAUAAAAUGAAAGCGGGUAAAUUGAAAAUAAAACAAUAAAUUGACAAAGAGGACUGAAUUGAACAUAAAACACCAUUUUGGGGCAAAAUUUAAAAAUAAGUAAACAGGGAAGGACUUAUUAGAACACGCGAGGAACGUGAAAGGACCAAAAAAGCAAUAUUACCUUAUCCUCAAAACGCAACGUGGCAGUAAGGACUAAAUUGAAAAAACGUGUAAGAUUCCAGGGCCGAAUUAAAAUAACAAAAAACUCAAUUGCAAGAUGUUUUAAAAGCGGAGGGGUUAAACGCGCAAAUAACCCCUCUCUGAAAAAACACGCGGAUCCUGUUGGAGCGGGUCGGGUCGACCCGACCCGUGUUCAAAACGACGUUGUUUUAUUAUUAAACAGGGGGGACCAAAACGGUGCGUUUUGGUCCCUUAUAAAAGUUAAAAAAUUUUAAAAAAAUUCAUUUGAGACUUGGGGCGGAAAAAAAAAAGAGAGAAAAAAGGGAGAGGGAGGGCCCGGAGCGAUUUCCGGACAGAGGGGAGGGUGUCGGUCCGAUCGCCGGACCGUCGCCGGCGCCGGCCAACGCACGCGGUGGCCGGAAAGGUAAAUUUUUUUUUGUUUAUUAUAUGUUAUUUAUUUAUUUUAUUAGUUUAUUAGAUUUUUAUGUGUAUAGGAGAUAAAAUUAAUUUUAAAAUGAAAUAAAAAUGAAAAAGAAAUAACCUUUAGUUUUUAACUUCUGAUUCUUCGAUCUUUGCUAUUUUCUUGCUUAAUCUGAUGCUAUUCUUGUAUAUGGAUAUAGGCAGAAUCCAGGGUUCAAUAUUUCUUUUUCUGUUUCUUUUUCUAAAGGGGACCCCUUUACAGUUUUUUUAUUUGGGUUUUUAUAACCCUUUUUCGCCUAUUUUUUAUUGCUUCUGUCUUGUCUGAUUGCAGGGAAUGGGCAUGGACGGUGGAGUGUGUGAUGGCUCAGCAUGCGCGGGGUGGCCGACAAGGUGGAGCAGUGUCAGACGCUUGGGGGCGUGGUGGCCAAGGGCAGAGGGGCGUACGGCGCUAGUAGGGGGCAAGUGGGGGGUUUGGUUGAUUAGGGUUUCUGUUUGGGUUUGGGGUUGUAAGUGGGCUAGGUUUAGGUUAGUGGGUCCGAUGGGUUUGGAAUUUAAAAAUGGGCAAAUGGGUAAUUGGAUUUAGCUGAAUGUGAUUGGGCUUUGUGGAUUAGUUUAGGUUUGUAAUCGGCCCAAAAUUGGCCUGUAACAUUAACAAUUGAAGUUGAAUUUUGAAAUUUAAAAAAUAUAGAUUAAAUUCCUAGAAAUAAAAAUACAAAGACUAAAUUUCAAAUUUGAAAAGAGUAUAGAAACCUAUGAUAUAAUUUAACCAAAAGAUUACAAUGCGGAGAAAGAGGUCGAUUCUAGACGUAAUAUAGACAAAUAUGAUGUAAUACCCUACACCUAGCCUAAACAUGAUGUAACACCCUACACCUGGCCUAAACGUUAUGGCCGAAUCUUGAGGAAUUACAAUAACUUAUUAAAAAGUUGAAAUCAUAUUCUUGUAGUAAAACAAUGUUAUCUUUGAUAAAUUGUUUUUUUUUCCAGUUUUAGGGAAAAUUUUUGUUAAAACCAUUUAUUUUCAGAUUAAAUGAACACUUCAUUUUGCAGCGGAGUUUUCUAAGUUAUAAAGUUUUUAAAAUCGUGGUUUGAUUUGUAAACAAAUAGUUUUGCAUAUAGAAAUAUUGUUGGGGAUUUAGGCACACUUUAUCUAGACGAAGUAUGAACUUCAGCCUGAACUUAAACAACAAUGUAAUAUAUUUGGAUGAAGAAUGAAGAAAUAAGAGCUGAGUCUUGAGCAAUAAGGCUCGUAGCUUGUGGAAGAAACAAACAGAUUUUGCAAAGGAAAACAAGAACAGAAAUGAAAGCAAAAAAUGGAGCAUAAAUUGAAUGAAAUUCAAUAUUUUUCAUUAAGAAGAAACAUUGGCAUAUAGCCAUUAUAUAUAUCAGUCAUUGAUUGAUCAAAACAAGACAAACAUCACCUAAUGCUUACCUAAUACCACUAGUUACAUGGAACACAUAAACAAAGCUGAUUUGUCAGCUCAAUCACCACCUAAUUACAUCAAUCAUGAAUCUAACAUAGUUCUAAAUGAACUAGAAUUCAUUACACCAACUAAGGUAACAAAACAAAACAAAAUGGAACUAGAUGGUAGUAACUGCACUCGAUCUUACUGCUCCUCGAUGGCUUGGUGUGCAUAGCCAUCCUCUUGAUGCUGCAUGCUGACCAAUCUUCAACACUCCUCCUUGGUUAGCAUGUUGCAUACUCCCAUUUGCUUUCUUAGUUUGAUAAACCUUGACACUCUAAGGGCUUUUGUGAAGAUAUCAGCAACCUGUUCCUCUGAAUUGCAAUAAAUCAACUCCACCUCUCGAGCUUGUUCUAUCUCCCUUACCACAUGUAGCUUGAUGCUAAAAUGUUUGGUUCUACCAUGGAAGACAUGAUUCUUUGCAAUUGCAACAGCAAGCAUGUUAUCACAAUAGAUCUCUGUUGCUUCCCUUUGAUGUAGGUUUAGAUCAGCAAGGAUUUUCCUUAGCCAAAUGGCUUGGUUGACUGCUCCAGCAACAGUCACAUAUUUAGCUUCUGCUGUUGAUUGAGGCACCACAUUUUGCUUCUUCGAACUCCAGCAAAACAUUGCUGAACCAAGUGUAAAUGCAUAACCUGAAGUGCUUUUCAUGUCAUCCUUUGUACCAGCCCAGUCACUGUCAGUGUAGCCUAACAGCUUCAGAUCUUCACUUCUGCUAAAUUGUAAUCCAUAGCUCAAGGUGCCUUUGAUAUACCUGAGCACUCUUUUUACUGCUCGAAAAUGCUCUUCAUUACAACAGUGCAUGAACCUUGAGAGCAAACUUACAGCAAACAUGAUAUCUGGUCUGGUUGCUGUCAAAUACAAUAAGCAGCCAACUAAACUCCUAUAGGCAGGCUCACUGACCUGUUCAUGAUCUCCUUGACUCGAUAGAUUCAUUCCAACAGCCAUAGGUGUGCUUGUUGGCUUGCAAUUCUCCAUAGAGAAUUUGCUUAGAAUUUUUGCAGCAAAUGUCUUCUGUCCCAAUAAGAUUCCACUGUAAGUUUGUUACACCUCCAUUCCAAGAAAGUAAGUCAUUUGCCCUAAAUCUGACAUUUCAAACAUGUCUUUCAUUUUGGCCUUGAAAUCAGCCAGUAUGUUCUGGUCUUCUCCUGUCACUAAGAGGUCAUCAACAUAAAGGGACACAAUGAGCUGUGUUUCAACUUGUUCUUUUUUGACAUAGAGUGUUGGCUCACUCAUGCUUCUUUGAAAUCCCAAGCUGAGCAGGUAGCCAUCGAUUCUGCUAUACCAGGCCUUUGGUGCCUGUUUUAAGCCAUACAAGGUUUUCUUGAGCCUGUAGACCAUGUCUUCCUUAUCUAUCACUAUGAAGCCUUGAGGUUACUCAACAUAGAUCUCUUCUUCAAGAAAGCCAUUAAAAAAAGUAGACUUCACAUCAAGCUGGUGGAUUUUCCACUCCAUCUGAGCUGCUAAGGCAACUAAUAGCCUAAAUAUGGUGUCUAACCUGGCUACUGGUGCAAAGGUUUCCAAAUAGUCCAGGCCAUACUUUUGGCUAAAACCCUUUACAACUAGCCUGGCCUUCAACUUGUUCAAGCUGCCAUCUGUAUUGUGUUUGGCUCGAUAGACCCAUUUCACUCCAAUGACCUUCCUGUUGGUUGGUCUUUCAACUAAUUCCCACGUUUGGUUCUUUUCAAUCAUGAUCAUCUCAUCAACCAUUGCUUGUUUCCAACCUUAAUGUGCUUCAGCAUCUUCAAAGCAGCUUGGUUCUUCUUGUGCAACAUGAGCCCUCUCAUAAAUCUCAGCCAAGGUCCUUGUAACCCUGACUGGUUCAUCAUCAAUAUCCAUAUCAGGAACAUUUUGAUCAGAUUCAAGCUGAUCUGCCAUGAGUUCUUCAGAAAUAUCCUCAGGUUCAUUUGUUUCCCAGUUCCAACAUACCUUUUCAUCAAAGAUCACAUCUCUACUUACAUGGACUUUGUUUGUUGAAGGAUCUAGGAUCCUAUAGCCUUUCUUGACCAUGCUGUAUCCCACUAAAAUGCCAGCUUGAGAAUUUUUGGACAGUUUGUCCCUUUUUACACCUGGUAUAAGGGUGUAGCAUAGGCAACCAAACACUUUUAGAUGAGCCAAAGAUGGCUUGAACCCGAACCAGGCCUCAAAUGGAGUUUUGUAAAUCAAGGCUUUAGUUGGAAGCCUGUUUUGAAGGUACACAGCAGUGUUGACUACUUCAGCCCACAUAGUCUUGGGCAAAUUCUUUUGAAAUAGGAGACAUCUAGCCAUAUCCAUCAGACUUCUAUUUUUCCUUUCACUCAUCCCAUUCUGCUGAGGUGUAUAAACAUUGGUGAACUAAUGUUUGACACUAGCAUCAUUGCAAAGAGCUUGGAACUGAGCUGAGGUACACUCUGCUCCAUUAUCUGACCUGAUGGUCUUCAAUUUGCAGCCUGUUUCUGUUUCAGCUGUAGCUUUAAACUUCAAGAAUACUUGAGCUACCUCAGACUUGUGCUUCAAAAAGAAAAUCCAACAAUAUAUGGUACUAUCAUUAAUGAAAAGAAUGAAAUACCUAUUGCCAUUGAGUGAUUCAAUUUUCAUGGGGCCACAUACAUCAGUGUGCACUAGUUCCAACUUGUUUGAUGCUCUCCAAGUUGUGUUUGCAAGAAAUGGGAGUCUGGCUUGCUUUCCCAUCUGACAGACUUCACAAACAUCUUCAUUUUGAACUGACUUGGUAAAGUUUUCAACCAUCUCCUUACUGACUGUAAUAGCCUAAAUUUGACCGGGCUUUAAAACCAAAAAAAUAAAUAAAAAUUUAUUUAAUAGUCCAUUAAAAGUCCAGGUUACAAAGCCCAAACAGUGAGGCCCAAUGUCUAAACAUAACAGACCGAUCCAAACCCCACAUCGGGCCCAAAUUCUAAAACACGUCACAACCAAUACCCGUGUAACCCAAAUACACCCGAAGCCCAACACAUACACCAACCCAAAUUCAAUCGUGGCCCAAAUCUUAGCAGGCCCAAUAAGCCCCAAACACAUGGACUCCAAAUCAGAAGCUAGGGUUUCCAGCAAACCCUAGCGCCGCAAGCACCCAUCGUCAAGCCCUUGCGUCGCAACCCAACAUCCAGUCAAUGCCCGAUCGGUGCCGUAAUCCUCGGAAGUACCUGUAAAAAAGGAAAGAAGAACGACAGAGCAUGGCAGAAAUAGCAAGAAAUUGAAAGAAAAUACUUACCUAAUCUGUAACUCUAAAAACAAUGGCUAUAAAAAACUCCUUUGAAACCUUUGUAACGAUACGCAUACAGGAACUGAAAAAAAGAGCAAAUACAAACAGUUUUUUUCGAAAAGGUGAAUCUUCUAUUUUAUUUUUUAUUUUUCAUGUUCAAAGCAUAUACAUACACAAACAGUUUGAUAAAUAGCUCUAAAACGCGAAAAAGGGUUUUACCUUUCAUUUUUGUGACAAAAAUCGAGGUCUCUAACCUCCAAGGGUCACACACGACGGCGUUUAGGACGACGGGUGGGCGCGUAAGGCGCGUGAACCACCUGAUGAUGGAGGUUUGGCCAGAGUUCCGAGGGCCCCUUUUCAUUCCUCUUUCAGAGGAUUUUUUUUAAUUUUUUUUUAAACACGAAUAGAAAUGAAAUUUUAAAGUUUUUUUUUGUAUUUAUAAGCUUCCCGAACGACAUCGUUUUGGGGUGAUCGUUUAGUGACCAAAACGACGUCGUUUCAAGGCCUCAAGAUCCGCGUGUUGACCCGAACCGGGGGAAGAUCCGCGCGUUUCUGAUAUUCGGGGAAAUAUCCCAAUUGGUCCUUCCGUUUCUUUCACUUUUGUAAUUAAAUCCAAUUUAUUUUUUUAAUUUGGCCCAGAAAUUUGUCUUUCAAUCCAAUCUAAUCUUUGGGGCCACUUUAGAAUGAAUAUGGAACGACGUCGUUCCUUGGGAAUAGGGCAUUUUGCUCGAUGAGUCCUUCACCCUUGGCGCACAUUUCAUUUAAAUCCUAGAUUCAGUUUUAUUUUUCUAAUUUCGUCCCUGUAAUUUUAUAAAAUUUUAAAUUUAAUCCUAUGUGUUUUUUUUGAUAUUAUAUAUUACUUGUCUUCUUCUAAACCUAUAUAUGUUUUAUUAUAUAAUUAUACAAUUAUUUUCACCUAUUAUUCAUUAUGUAUUAAUCCUUAUAUAUAUACAUUAGUUUUAUUAUUAUUAUAUAAUUUAGUAAAUGUUAGUUUGAAAUCAUUAUUAAGUAAUAUGUUUUUAAAUUUGUAUUAUUUAUUAUAUUAUUACUAUAUUGUAUAUAUAUUUAUCUUAAAUUCCUUUUUUACAUUAAAUUAUUUUAAUAAUAUUGUUUCAUUCAUUAUUUUUCAUAUAUAUUAUUUAGUGUAUUCUAAAUCAUUUUAUAAAUGUAAAAAUUGUUUUACUUUUCUAUAUUAUUACUUUUCAUAUAUUAUUUCAUGUAUUAGACAUUUCAUAUAUUUUCAUUAUUUUAUAUUAUUAUUUAUAUAUAUUAUUAUCCUUAACUAUUAUAUUAUAUUAAUCAAUUACUUAUAUACUAUAUAUUAUGAUUUUAAAUCCAUAUACUUUUAUAUUAUAUAUUAUAUAAUUAUUUUAUUUAAUACGUAUAUUAUUUUUUUAUAUAUUUUUAAAUAUUAUGUUUGUAUUAUUAACUUUUUUUAAAAAAAUAUGUAUUAAUCCUUUUAUUCUUUUUAAAUACCAAAGGUUGAUUUUAAAUCAUUAUUAAGUGAUGUUUAUGUUGAUAUAUACAUAUUGCCAUUAUUACCUUUUUUUAUGAUAUUUUUUGUAUGAAUAUUAAAUUGUAUAUCAUGCAUCAUUUUUACUAUCAAUAGGUUUAAAUAUAUGAUGAAUUACAGGUUUAUGUGUUUUUACUUAUUCUUCUUAAAUAUAUAUCGUGUUUUAUGUAUAUUUUACUUAUUUAAAAUUUGCCAUGUUUCUUAUAUGUAUGAUAUUUAUGUUAUUGUGUUUUUAUUUACCUAUUAUUAUAACAUUUUAUCUCGUAUGUUAUGUUAAUAUGCUCCUGCAUGCAUUGAUUUUAAAAAACGAGACUCUAAAGUUUUCAAAAAAAUAAAGGCAAUGCUUGGUGUUUGAAAAUUUCGGGAAAAGUAGUGCCCUAACUUACUGGGUUGCAAUUUUUCUCGUUGAGUUUGAAUAGUCAAGCACCCUUCUAAGUUUUUAAGGUUUUCAAAAUACGAGCAACUGUUUUGGAAUUUCAAAGCGUUGCGUCCUAACUUACUGGAUGUGGCGUUUUGUCAUUUCGAGAUAGAGAUUUUCAAAAAAGCUAGUUUAGUUUCGAAUGUCUUAAAAAUAUUGUGUCCUAACUUAAUGGAUGAGAUAUUUUGAUUCGUUUGAUACAAGUGAACCCCAAUUUUCAAAAUCAAAAUAUUCUAAAGAGGAUUGCAUCUUAAAAUUUUUAAAUUUCCGAUUUUAAAGACAUUUGAUAAUUAAUUAGGUACCAAUUUUUGGGCGUUUCGAGGGUGCUAAUCCUUCCUCGUACGUAACCGACUCUCGAACCCGUUCUUUUUACUUCGUAGACCAAAACUAAUAAUUUAUCGGUGAUCAAAUCACACCUAAAAAGAUUGGUGGCGACUCUCGUUUUCGUUUUUUAAGUCGAUUCCCAUUUUCCAAAACCCGAUUUUAAAAAUGGUUUCGACACUGACCAUUUGAGCCAUCGAUCUAAAGUUGGCAUGACCAAGUCUUUGAUGCCAAAGCUUGGAAUCUUCUGUUGAGGCAACACAGGCUAAGUGUAAGUCACCUGACCAGUUGACUUCAAAACAUUUAUCAGUCAUACUGACUGUCAUGAGGCUUGUUCCAUUUGAAUCAGCAUUUUGGCACUCCUGGCCCUUAAACACAACUGAGUAGCCCUUUUCAAGCAGUUGAGCAAUGCUGAAAAGGUUCCUGUCAAUCUCAGGUGCCAGCAGCACAUUUUUUAUGAUUUUAUCACUUGUGGAAGUGCAUAUUAGCACAUCCCCUUUUUUUUCAGCCUUAAUAAACUGACCAUUCCCAACUUUUACUUUGGUUUUGCAACUUCUGUCCAAAGUCUUAAAAAUAGUUGCAUCUAGUGACAUGUGAUUAGUGCAACCACUGUCCAACAGCCAUCCGUUUGGGCCCUUGCUCUGACCAGGUAAGCAUGAUACAGCAAAGACCUGUUCUUUAUGGUCACUGCUGUCUUCAGCCAUUCGAGCUUCAACAUCCUUAUGUUGUGCUUGGUUUUGCCAAGGUCUGCCUUUUUCUUUACAGACCCUUUCAACAUGGCCCUUUUUUCUUGCAAUGUUGACACAAGGCAUCUGGUCUGAACCAACAUUUGGCCUCUAUAUGACCAGGCCUUUUACAAAAUCUGCAAAGUUGAUCUCCUCUUCUUGCAGCAUCAGGCUUAGGCCUACUUCUCCAGUUCUUCUUGCCUUUAUAGGCUGAGGUGCUCGAGGCUGCUUUGGCCUUGGCUUGGAAAGCACCCUCCUGGUGCUCUUCUAUCCUGCUGGCUCUCCUUUGUUCCUGAGCAUAGAGGGAAUUAAUGAGCUCAGUUAGGGAGAUGCUUGAAAGAUCUCUCGAAUCCUCCAGGGAUGAGAUUUUUGCCUCAUAUCUUUCAGGCAAUGUUGAGAGCACCUUCUCCACAAUCCUUGCCUCACUAAACUGUUCUCCUAGCAACCUUAUGUUGUUCACAACAGCUAUGAUUCUAUCUGAGUAAUGCUUCAUUGUCUCUUCCUCCUUCAUCUUCAAAUUUUCAAAAUCUCUUCUUAAGUUCAACAAUUAUUCCUGCCUUGUCCCCUAUGUGCCUUGAAACUCCUCUUUAAGCUUGUCCCAGGCCUACUUUGGAGUCUCACAGGCCAUGAUUCUGGUAAAAUAAACAUCAGACACACAGUUCUGAAUACAAAACAUGACCUUAUGCCUUUUGGUCCACUCAUCUGCGUGUUGCCUGAUUUGAGCCACUGUGGGAUUGGCUCUGAGUGGAGCUGGCUCUGCAUCAGAGUUCACAACUUCCCACAGAUCGAAGGCCUGUAGGUAAGUCCUCAUCUUGACAACCCAUAUGUAGAACCCUUCACCAUUAAAGACUGGUGGUGCUGCAAGAGAAAAGCUUGAUGAAGCCAUUCAGUUUAAGAUUCAACUACAACAGGUCCUCUAAGAUGAAAGCUCUAGAUACCAAUUGUUGGGGAUUUAGGCACACUUUAUCCAGAUGAAGUAUGAACUUCAGUCUGAACUUAAACAACAAUGUAAUAUAUCCGGAUGAAGAAUGAAGAAAUAAGAGCUGAGUCUUGAGCAACAAGGCUCGUAGCUUGUGGAAGAAACAAACAGAUUUUGCAAAGGAAAACAAUAACAGAAAUGAAAGCAAAAAAUGGAGCAUAAAUUGAAUGAAAUUCAAUAUUUUUCAUUAAGAAGAAACAUUGGCAUAUAGCCAUUAUAUAUAUCAGUCAUUGAUUGAUCAAAACAAGACAAACAUCACCUAAUGCUUACCUAAUACCACUAGUUACAUGGAACACAUAAACAAAGCUGAUUUGUCAGCUCAAUCACCACCUAAUUACAUCAAUCAUGAAUCUAACAUAGUUCUAAAUGAACUAGAAUUCAUUACACCAACUAAGGUAACAAAAUGGAACUAGAUGGCAGUAGCUGCACUCGGUCUUACUGCUCCUCGAUGGCUUGGUGUGCAUAGCCAUCCUCUUGAUGCUGCAUGCUGACCAAUCUUCAACAAAUAUAAUAAUAGUUAACCCGGAAAAGCAAGUCAAAGACGAGAAGUAAAAUCGAAAACGAUUUACAGUACAAAAGUCUGAAAAGUCGAAUAUUAACAGUCUUUAAUUUUAACCAAUUUCAUAUUAUAACACAAUGAGUAGAUUUGUAAACAAAUAGAUUUUUCUAAUAAUACUGUUUUAAAUUUGAUUGCUUCACUUUUUGAUUCGCCGGAUAGUGUCAUACGGAAUAAGGUGUUAAUGACGAUGUGGAGUAUUUGGUUCUUUCGAAACAGGUUUUGUUAGAAGAAUGAGUCUAUAUCGGCUGCUGUUGUUUUAUCUUUCGACAUAUCCAAUCUGCAGGAUUGGUUGAGUGCAGAAUCGGUGUUUGAUAUAGCUCAAUGUGUUGCUGGUCACCUGCCUAAUGUUACUGGCCGUCGCCUGAGCAGUGGUGGCCGACGGUAGAUGAAGCCGCCUGAGAAUCGACUGAAACGCAACGUUGAUGCAGCAAGUUUUGGGGCGGAUCAGUCGACUAGCUUUGUAGCAGUGGUGAGGGACUCUAACGACGUUUUUGUUAAGGGUAAUACGGGUCAUUACUGAGCCAGCUUGGAGCCAAAGUUUGCUGAAGAUUUUGCGGUCUGUGAAGCUCUUUCUUGAUUGAAGGCUCGGUAUCAUGAUUGUGAGCGACAACCUCCAAGCGAUUUCAGCUCUGAAGCGGGUUGAUGACGAUGCCUCUGGUUUCAGUAUGUUUAUUUCAGCUCUUGCAUCUCAGUUUCAUAAUUUUUCUUUUUGUUGGACGAGACAGGAAGCAAGGCAGCUCAUAUAUUUAUGAGAGUAGUCUUAUCUUAUGCGACCCACUCUGAAUGGAAAAGUCAUCCUUCCAAUCAUUCCUUUAUUUUAAACCAUGAUUUUAUGUUUAAUUUAGACCAUGAAAGUAGAAGAUGUUUGGACCGAGAGUACAAGGUAAGCCAGUUGGCUUAGAACUUAGUUUUUAUCCUCUCUUUUAUCAAUUGCUGUUAUUAAUUUGGCAUCAUGAAAUUAUUUCUCCGUAAAAAAAGAUUAUUAUUUUUUAUAUUACAUAUAUAAUAACAUUGAAACACAAAUCUAAGCCCAACUAGAAUCAAUAAGCUUUGGCAUAAUAAAGCUACCAAAUUAUAUUUAUUCACUUAUUCUCAUAAUGAAAGUACAUGACAUAGUUAAUAAUGAGAUCACAGACAACUAGUGCUUCUUACAUGAAGGGAACACCAAUUUAUUUAGUUUAAUUUAAUUAAGUAUGCAACAUACACAAAUCUUCAAGCUUCCAUGGAGUUGUGGGGUUUUUCUCAAUUCAAGUGGUGAGAGGUUCUUCUUUGGUAUCAUAUUGGAUGUUGUAGUAAUUAGCACCAGUGAAAGUGUUACCAGUGACAUCAGUUGUGACAACGGUCCCAUUAUAAAGAGUGUCUUUUUGAGUGAAUACGAAGGGAACAUCACACGUGCCAUGCGUCAUCGAUAGAUACACCGUCACCUUAGUCAUCGGUGGCACAUGAGCUUGGUGGUUAACUUCCAUCACGGUGGUCGUUGUCUUUGUCUCUCCCCACUCGAUUCCUGCUUCGAGUUUGGCAGAUAUUUCGACACCCGCUUUACCGAUUAAUGGAACCCCUACUUCGAAG
Molecule: long non-coding RNA, 20010 nt
Filed under: Gossypium barbadense (sea-island cotton)
Lineage: Eukaryota; Viridiplantae; Streptophyta; Magnoliopsida; Malvales; Malvaceae
Description: long non-coding RNA (GBAR_LNC001048)
Source: RNAcentral